UAAAGCGUGCGCAGGCGGUUAUAUAAGACAGAUGUGAAAUCCCCGGGCUCAACCUGGGAACUGCAUUUGUGACUGUAUAGCUGGAGUGCGGCAGAGGGGGAUGGAAUUCCGCGUGUAGCAGUGAAAUGCGUAGAUAUGCGGAGGAACACCGAUGGCGAAGGCAAUCCCCUGGGCCUGCACUGACGCUCAUGCACGAAAGCGUGGGGAGCAAACAGGAUUAGAUACCCUUU
RNAcentral lists this ribosomal RNA (230 nucleotides) under uncultured bacterium. RNAcentral's name for it is "partial 16S ribosomal RNA". It matches the Rfam family "Bacterial small subunit ribosomal RNA", at positions 561 to 790 of the family's 1533-position model. The record is from RNAcentral.